This 429-nucleotide ribosomal RNA is filed under the name Bacteroidota bacterium. RNAcentral describes it as "Bacteroidetes bacterium partial 16S ribosomal RNA". It matches the Rfam family "Bacterial small subunit ribosomal RNA", at positions 355 to 776 of the family's 1533-position model. The record is from RNAcentral. Lineage: Bacteria; Pseudomonadati; Bacteroidota.
UAGGGAAUCUUCCGCAAUGGACGCAAGUCUGACGGAGCAACGCCGCGUGAGUGAAGAAGGAUUUCGGUUCGUAAAACUCUGUUGUUAGAGAAGAACAGCGCAUAGAGUAACUGUUAUGCGUGUGACGGUAUCUAACCAGAAAGCGACGGCUAACUACGUGCCAGCAGCCGCGGUAAUACGUAGGUGGCAAGCGUUGUCCGGAUUUAUUGGGCGUAAAGCGAGCGCAGGCGGUCAAUUAAGUCUGAUGUGAAAGCCCCCGGCUCAACCGGGGAGGGUCAUUGGAAACUGGUUGACUUGAGUGCAGAAGAGGAGAGUGGAAUUCCAUGUGUAGCGGUGAAAUGCGUAGAUAUAUGGAGGAACACCAGUGGCGAAGGCGACUCUCUGGUCUGUAACUGACGCUGAGGCUCGAAAGCGUGGGUAGCAAACAGG